AAAUAUUGCAACCUGAAUUAGGAAAGGACUUUUUAGUAAUGUUAUGUUUAGGUGUUAUGUUAGGUGUUAUAGUAUUUUCUUCCUUUUUCCUUUUUUGUAUGCCCCCCCCCCCCCCAAAUUGUAGAACUUGAAAGUAGGAAAUCCUUGGGUAGGGAUAUAUUUUAUUGUUUUCCAGAGAAAUUAGAUUCUGAUUUGGCUGAGGUGAUAAUUAUUUAAAAUAACUAAUUGCCUUCAGCAAUGUGAGUUAGUUGGGAAGAUUCUGCAGUGUGUUAAAAUUAGUGAUUGUCUAGAAAUGUUCUGCAGAGGCUGGCUCACUAGCUUGAUCAGUGUCUUUAGCAACCAGCUGCAUCAUCAGUGCCUGGCUUGCUUCUUGCAGAAGUAGUUAUUGUGGAAGGGAUUAUGAAGGAAAAAAUACAAAUAUAUAUUGUGUCCUACCAUCUCUCCAAAUCAAAACUGCUAUUUCAUCUCAUCUGGGUCACCCCUUGCACACUUAUAACAACUAUUUGUUGGACUUGAUUCUUUAGUGUCAUCACUUGGAGAAACAGUGAUCUCCUUUAUCAGCUGCUUAUGAGACAAGGUAUCCUGGAAAUGGUUUUCCUGGCAGAAGGGUCUGAACCUGGGAAAGCAUCAUGGUCCUGGAAGCAUCCAGUGAGCACUUGCUGGUCCUUGAAAACCUGUAGAAGCUAAUGCGAAUCUCAUGCCAGGCCAUGCCCAUAUGUGCACAGGUAUUUAUCCCAGCUGAUUGUGUCAUUUGUGUGCAGUCAUAUUAGCUUUAGGCCUCUAGCUUAGACAUCUGAAUUAACAGAACAGGUCACCACAUACAGAGUAAUUCCUCCAGAAGAUAAUGCAGAACUCACAGUUCAAUCAGCAUUGUAACUCAACUUAAUUCUCACUGUUUUGCUGUCUUGAGGGAAUAUUGGUUAUAAAGGAAUCUAACUCAGUACCCUGAAUUAAGGAAUCACUCCUUCAGGCAGUGUGACUUAGUCCUAUUGAGUUCAACUGGAAAUUUAUUUUGUUGCAUAAACCAGCAAAAUAUGAUUCAUAUACUGUGAAUGCUCAGCUGAAUGUUUGCAAUUUGAGCUCUUAAUGAAUUUCAGUUCAACAAAUUAAUUGCCAGUUUAGCCUGAAAAGGUUUCAGAGGUACUUGGGAAUAAGAAACACAAUUCAGUUCCGUCCUCUCUGUGAAGAAGCACAUGACCUCUGCGGCUGAGGCUGUGUUUAGAAAAAUUUGUUUUGCCUAUUCAGAAUGGUCAUCAUCAAGCCAGCAAAACCAUUCCAUAAGUGAAGUCACACACCAUGGAUGUUUUUGUUAACUAUUGCUAAGCAUUAAUUCAAAGAUGACAAUUCAGAUUUCAGCCACAGCAAUCAAUGCUCUACUUGAAAACAGUCACAGAGCCAUAAAGUUCUGAACCUACAAAAGCCUUUUAAAAGAUGUUUUAGGAAAAUAUUUGAAGAUAAUUUUGUUAAGAGGCAGUUGUAUCUGGAAGCACCUCAGCUGCUGGGGGUCUGCAGUUUUGUAGUUCAUACACCAUGAAGACCUUUUGGCACACCAGAGGCUUCAUGUAGUGCAGGCACUGAACUGUUCAUUCUUGAUCCUUUGGCUUCACUGAUAGUAUGGGGGAUAUCCACACAGAGAACUCAACAAGCAGUAGCAGGCUGGGUUGUGAAAACACUACGUUUCAAGUCUGCCCAUGUUAACAGAACAAUCUUGGGAACCGCCAAAAAAUUGGUUGUUUCUAACCAGCAACCCUAAGAACUUCCUUCUCCCUCUUUGAGAAUAUCCCUGCAAGGGAUAAAAAAUAUGAAAUACUAAUAGAGAUUUUUGGAGAGUGUCAUUGAAGGGCUGAAUAAAAAUUGUGGGGAAAUAUUGUGUAGUUUUGUG
This 1882-nucleotide long non-coding RNA is filed under the name Anser brachyrhynchus (Pink-footed goose). RNAcentral's name for it is "lncRNA (ENSABRG00000002716.1)". The record is from RNAcentral. Lineage: Eukaryota; Metazoa; Chordata; Aves; Anseriformes; Anatidae.